RNAcentral lists this ribosomal RNA (270 nucleotides) under uncultured soil bacterium. RNAcentral's name for it is "partial 16S ribosomal RNA". It matches the Rfam family "Bacterial small subunit ribosomal RNA", at positions 26 to 281 of the family's 1533-position model. The record is from RNAcentral.
AGAAUGAACGCUGGCGGCGUGCUUAACACAUGCAAGUCGAGCGAGGCCAGGGGGGCAACUCCCUGAGUCGAGCGGCGGACGGGUGAGUAACACGUGGGUAACCUACCCGGAAGUGGGGAAUACCUCGGGGGAAACUCGAGCUAAUACCGCAUAACAUCUCGAGGACGAAAGUUCUUGUGAUCAAAGCGGGGCCGCAAGGCCUCGUGCUACCGGAUGGGCCCGCGCCCGAUUAGCUAGUUGGCGAGGUAAUGGCUCACCAAGGCGACGAUC